GAUGAACGCUGGCGGCGUGCUUAACACAUGCAAGUCGAACGGAAAGGCCCAAGCUUGCUUGGGUACUCGAGUGGCGAACGGGUGAGUAACACGUGGGUGAUCUGCCCUGCACUUCGGGAUAAGCCUGGGAAACUGGGUCUAAUACCGGAUAGGACCACGUCUUGGAUGUUGUGGUGGAAAGUUUUUUCGGUGUGGGAUGAGCUCGCGGCCUAUCAGCUUGUUGGUGGGGUAAUGGCCUACCAAGGCGUCGACGGGUAGCCGGCCUGAGAGGGUGUACGGACACAUUGGGACCGAGAUACGGGCCAGACUCCGACGGGAGGCAGCAGGGGGGAAUAUUGCACAAUGGGCGCAAGCCUGAUGCAGCGAGGCCGCGUGGGGGAUGACGGCCUUCGGGUUGUAAACUCCGUUCGCUAGGGACGAAGCGUUUUUGUGACGGUACCUGGAGAAGAAGCACCGGCUAACUACGUG
This 468-nucleotide ribosomal RNA is filed under the name uncultured bacterium. Its description in RNAcentral is "partial 16S ribosomal RNA". It matches the Rfam family "Bacterial small subunit ribosomal RNA", at positions 28 to 507 of the family's 1533-position model. The record is from RNAcentral.